Molecule: ribosomal RNA, 742 nt
Filed under: uncultured Bacteroidota bacterium
Lineage: Bacteria; Pseudomonadati; Bacteroidota
Description: bacterial SSU rRNA
Rfam family: Bacterial small subunit ribosomal RNA
Source: RNAcentral
CAGCAGCCGCGGUAAUACGGAGGAUGCAAGCGUUAUCCGGAUUUAUUAGGUUUAAAGGGUGCGCAGGCGGAAUAGUCAGUCAGUGGUGAAAUCCUACAGCUUAACUGUAGAACUGCCAUUGAUACUGCUAUUCUUGAGUACAGUUGAGGUAGGCGGAAUGUGUAGUGUAGCGGUGAAAUGCUUAGAUAUUACACAGAACACCGAUUGCGAAGGCAGCUUACUAAACUGUUACUGACGCUGAGGCACGAAAGCGUGGGGAGCGAACAGGAUUAGAUACCCUGGUAGUCCACGCCGUAAACGAUGAUCACUCGUUGUAUGCCUUUUUUGGUAUGCGACUGAGCGAAAGCAUUAAGUGAUCCACCUGGGGAGUGCGUUCGCAAGAAUGAAACUCAAAGGAAUUGACGGGGGCCCGCACAAGCGGUGGAACAUGUGGUUUAAUUCGAUGGUACGCGAGGAACCUUACCUGGGCUUAAAUGUAGAACGACUUUCGCCGAAAGGCGAUUUUCCUUCGGGACGAUCUACAAGGUGCUGCAUGGUUGUCGUCAGCUCGUGCCGUGAGGUGUCGGGUUAAGUCCCAUAACGAGCGCAACCCCUAUUGUUAGUUACCAGCGGAUAAUGCCGGGGACUCUAACGAGACUGCCACCGUAAGGUGAGAAGAAGGUGGGGAUGACGUCAAAUUAGCACGGCCCUUAUGUCAAGGGCUACACACGUGUUACACUGGCCGGUACAAAGGGCAGCUACC